GGAAUACCUAGGAUAGGAUAAAGUAAUCCUUCUAACCCCCCCCUUAAAAGAUGUAGAUGCACUAUUGUAAAGUGGUUGUUCCACUGGAUAUCAUAAGGUGAAUGCACCAAUUUGUAAGUCGCUCUGGAUAAGAGCGUCUGCUAAAUGACUUAAAUGUAAAUGUAAAUGUAAAUCUCUAGGAGACAGAACGCGUAGCCUUCCUGAGCGGUAUGACGGCUUGCGCACUAUUAUUUGUACAAAUGAAUGUGGUACCUUCAGGCGUUUGGAAAUUGCUCCCAAGGAUGAACCAGACUUGUGGAGGUCUACAAUCUUUUUUCUGAGGUUUUGGCUGAUUUAUUUAGAUUUUCCCAUGAUGUCAAACAAAGAGGCACUGAGUUUGAAGGUAGGCCUUGAAAUACAUCCACAGGUACACCUCCAAUUGACUGAAAUGAUGUCAAUUAGCUUAUCAGAAGCUUCUAAAGCCAUGACAUCAUUUUCUGGAAUUUUCCAAGCUGUUUAAAGGCACAGUCAACUUAGUGUAUGUAAACUUCUGACCCACUGGAAUUGUGAUACAGUGAAUUAUAAGUGAAGUAAUCUGUCUGUAAACAAUUGUUGGAAAAAUUACUUGGUCAUGCACAAAGUAGAUGUCCUAACCCACUUGCCAAAGCUAUAGUUUGUUAACAAGAAAUUUGUGGAGUGGUUGAAAAACUAGUUUUAAUGACUCCAACCUAAGUGUAUGUAAACUGUCGACUUCAACUGUAUAACAUGAAAUAAUUAAAAUAGUCCUCAUUGUAAUAAUUACAUAGGAUCAAGUAACACUUCAUAAACUGUUAUUUACAGCAUUUAUAUAUAGCCUAUGCGAUUACAUCACAGGCAAGAAUCCUGCGUUUCCGUGGAGAUGGGGAUUGGCACAUGAUGGAGCCCUGACUCGCUGACACAAACACGCUAACGUAAAACAAAGUUAUGAGAAAUAACUGUCUAAAGUAAUAAUUUAAGAUCAGACUGUAUUUACAUCAGACUUUCUGCAUCAUCGUCAACAAAAAACAUAUGAAGAAGGCAGAUCUGGAAUGGGAGGGCGGAAACAACAACAGCAGGGGAAAAGAGGACGUUAAUCUGUGUUCAUCAGGGGUCAGAGGUCACAGACAUACAGCACUAGAGCGAGGCUUCAGAUCGCUAGCCAACCUGAAUGCCAUUAGAACAGUUCAAAUCUGUACAAUAACAUGAAGUCAAAGUCAGUGAAGUCAUACACACAGACAUCCUGAGGGAGAAUCAUCUACCAAAUAUAUUAAGCUAUGUGCAGUCCAUUCAUAUAUUCACCUCUACCCCAGUCACCUAACAAAUAUAUUCACCUGUACGCCCCAGUCACCUAACCAACAUCCCCAGUUCAUUCACCUAACAAAUAUAUUCACCUGUACGCCCCAGUCACCUAACCAACAUCCCCAGUUCAUUCACCUAACAAAUAUAUUCACCUGUACGCCCCAGUCACCUAACCAACAUCCCCAGUUCAUUCACCUAACAAAUAUAUUCACCUGUACGCCCCAGUCACCUAACCAACAUCCCCAGUUCAUUCACCUAACAAAUAUAUUCACCUGUACGCCCCAGUCACCUAACCAACAUCCUCAGUUCAUUCACCUAACAAAUAUAUUCACCUGUACGCCCUUUAAAGGAAUAUAUUCACAGGUAUGGCCUUAAUUCUUCCACAUAUACAGUAUGUAAACCCUGACAUGUGGUGAGGGUGAGUUGUUGCUGUGGCUUCACCAAGCAGCAGAUUCACACAUUAGUUUAACAUUUAGGUGACUGAUUGAUUGGAGUUGAGUGGUAGUGUGUUUUAAACUCCUGAGACAGUGAACUAACUGAUAACCAACACCCUGUCAUCUAUAGGUCUGUUCAUCACCACCCUGUCAUCUAUAGGUCUGUUCAUCACCACACUGUCAUCUAUAGGUCUGUUCAUCACCACCCUGUCAUCUAUAGGUCUGUUCAUCACCACACUGUCAUCUAUAGGUCUGUUCAUCACCACACUGUCAUCUAUAGGUCUGUUCAUCACCACCCUGUCAUCUAUAGGUCUGUUCAUCACCACCCUGUCAUCUAUAGGUCUGUUCAUCACCACACUGUCAUCUAUAGGUCUGUUCAUCGACACACUGGAGAUACUGUUUGGCCUCUGUGUCUGUUUGUAUCUAUGGUCCAACAUGGUAAGCUCUGAGAAAGGCAGCAUAGAUGCACGAUAAGGCAGAUCCGUACAAAACACACACACACACACACACACACACACACACACACACACACACACACACACACACACACACACACACACACACACACACACACACACAC
This 2310-nucleotide long non-coding RNA is filed under the name Salmo salar (Atlantic salmon). Its description in RNAcentral is "lncRNA (ENSSSAG00000094786.1)". The stretch from base 101 to 154 matches the Rfam family "UnaL2 LINE 3' element". The record is from RNAcentral. Lineage: Eukaryota; Metazoa; Chordata; Actinopteri; Salmoniformes; Salmonidae.